RNAcentral lists this ribosomal RNA (21 nucleotides) under Atractophaedusa antibouddah. Its description in RNAcentral is "Oospira antibouddah partial 5.8S rRNA". The record is from RNAcentral. Lineage: Eukaryota; Metazoa; Mollusca; Gastropoda; Stylommatophora; Clausiliidae.
GUAAGACUAUAAAAGAAAUGG